UUGAAUUAAGAGUAUAAGGGUGAGCUUUUUAUUCAAUAAUUGUAAAAAAAUGAACAAAAUAUUUUGUGAUCUGAAAAUUAGGUUUUUUAGUGGCCAUAUUUUUAAAGUGUUUUAACUAGGAAUGAUAUAGAUAUUUUUUUUUGAAUUUGUUCUUUUAAAGUAGUAGUAUAUUUUCUUUAGUAAGGAAAGAUUAGUAAUACUGGGGGUAUUAGUAGAGAUAAAAAAUAAUAUGAAAUUAUAGAUAUUAAAAUUAUUAGAAAAUUUUAAUUAAAUAAAAGAAAAAAUAAAGGAACUCGGCAAAUUUUUUUCUUGCCUGUUUAACAAAAACAU
This 330-nucleotide ribosomal RNA is filed under the name Onconida alaini. RNAcentral describes it as "partial 16S ribosomal RNA". The record is from RNAcentral. Lineage: Eukaryota; Metazoa; Arthropoda; Malacostraca; Decapoda; Munididae.